UGGGGAAUCUUGCACAAUGGGGGCAACCCUGAUGCAGCGACGCCGCGUGAGCGAUGAAGCCCUUCGGGGCGUAAAGCUCUUUCGACCGGAACGAUAAUGACGGUACCGGGAGAAGAAGCUGCGGCUAACUACGUGCCAGCAGCCGCGGUAAUACGUAGGCAGCAAGCGUUGUUCGGAGUUACUGGGCGUAAAGAGUGCGUAGGCGGUUUUCUAAGUUCGGUGUGAAAUCUCCCGGCUUAACUGGGAGGGUGCGCCGAAGACUGGGAAGCUGGAGUGUGGGAAAGGCAGGCGGAAUUCCUGGUGUAGUGGUGAAAUGCGUAGAUAUCAGGAGGAACACCGGCGGUGUAGACGGCUUGCUAGACCAUAACUGACGCUGAGGCACGAAAGCGUGGGUAGCAAACA
RNAcentral lists this ribosomal RNA (402 nucleotides) under uncultured bacterium. RNAcentral's name for it is "bacterial SSU rRNA". It matches the Rfam family "Bacterial small subunit ribosomal RNA", at positions 355 to 774 of the family's 1533-position model. The record is from RNAcentral.